Molecule: small nuclear RNA, 23 nt
Filed under: Arabidopsis thaliana (thale cress)
Lineage: Eukaryota; Viridiplantae; Streptophyta; Magnoliopsida; Brassicales; Brassicaceae
Description: snRNA_10979
Source: RNAcentral
AAGUCAUCACCAUGAUGAUCAGC